ACAGUCGAGCGAACUGAUUAGAAGCUUGCUUCUAUGACGUUAGCGGCGGACGGGUGAGUAACACGUGGGCAACCUGCCUGUAAGACUGGGAUAACUUCGGGAAACCGAAGCUAAUACCGGAUAGGAUCUUCUCCUUCAUGGGAGAUGAUUGAAAGAUGGUUUCGGCUAUCACUUACAGAUGGGCCCGCGGUGCAUUAGCUAGUUGGUGAGGUAACGGCUCACCAAGGCAACGAUGCAUAGCCGACCUGAGAGGGUGAUCGGCCACACUGGGACUGAGACACGGCCCAGACUCCUACGGGAGGCAGCAGUAGGGAAUCUUCCGCAAUGGACGAAAGUCUGACGGAGCAACGCCGCGUGAGUGAUGAAGGCUUUCGGGUCGUAAAACUCUGUUGUUAGGGAAGAACAAGUACGAGAGUAACUGCUCGUACCUUGACGGUACCUAACCAGAAAGCCACGGCUAACUACGUGCCAGCAGCCGCGGUAAUACGUAGGUGGCAAGCGUUAUCCGGAAUUAUUGGGCGUAAAGCGCGCGCAGGCGGUUUCUUAAGUCUGAUGUGAAAGCCCACGGCUCAACCGUGGAGGGUCAUUGGAAACUGGGGAACUUGAGUGCAGAAGAGAAAAGCGGAAUUCCACGUGUAGCGGUGAAAUGCGUAGAGAUGUGGAGGAACACCAGUGGCGAAAGCGGCUUUUUGGUCUGUAACUGACGCUGAGCGCGAAAGCGUGGGGAGCAAACAGAUUAGAUACCCUGGUAGUCCACGCC
This 760-nucleotide ribosomal RNA is filed under the name Bacillus sp. (in: firmicutes). Its description in RNAcentral is "bacterial SSU rRNA". It matches the Rfam family "Bacterial small subunit ribosomal RNA", at positions 58 to 801 of the family's 1533-position model. Lineage: Bacteria; Bacillati; Bacillota; Bacilli; Caryophanales; Bacillaceae. The record is from RNAcentral.